This 301-nucleotide ribosomal RNA is filed under the name uncultured bacterium. RNAcentral describes it as "partial 16S ribosomal RNA". It matches the Rfam family "Bacterial small subunit ribosomal RNA", at positions 509 to 808 of the family's 1533-position model. The record is from RNAcentral.
CAGUCGCCACGGUAAUACGUAGGUGGCAAGCGUUGUCCGGAAUUAUUGGGCGUAAAGGGCUCGCAGGCGGUUUCUUAAGUCUGAUGUGAAAGCCCCCGGCUCAACCGGGGAGGGUCAUUGGAAACUGGGAAACUUGAGUGCAGAAGAGGAGAGUGGAGUUCCACGUGUAGCGGUGAAAUGCGUAGAGAUGUGGAGGAACACCAGUGGCGAAGGCGACUCUCUGGUCUGUAACUGACGCUGAGGAGCGAAAGCGUGGGGAGCGAACAGGAUUAGAUACCCCCGUAGUCCCUGUCUCUUUACC